This 209-nucleotide ribosomal RNA is filed under the name uncultured Latescibacterota bacterium. Its description in RNAcentral is "uncultured Latescibacteria bacterium partial 16S ribosomal RNA". It matches the Rfam family "Bacterial small subunit ribosomal RNA", at positions 568 to 775 of the family's 1533-position model. Lineage: Bacteria; Pseudomonadati; Candidatus Latescibacterota. The record is from RNAcentral.
CGUGUAGGCGGUCAGGUAAGUGGAAUGUGAAAUGACCCCGGCUCACCCGGGGACCGGCAUCCCAAACUGCCUGGCUUGAGUAUGGGAGAGGAUGGAGGAAUUCCUGGUGUAGCGGUGAAAUGCGUAGAUAUCAGGAGGAACACCGGUGGCGAAGGCGUCCAUCUGGCCCAAUACUGACGCUGAGGCGCGAAAGCUAGGGGAGCAAACGG